Molecule: ribosomal RNA, 468 nt
Filed under: uncultured bacterium
Lineage: Bacteria
Description: partial 16S ribosomal RNA
Rfam family: Bacterial small subunit ribosomal RNA
Source: RNAcentral
GACGAACGCUGGCGGCGUGCUUAACACAUGCAAGUCGAACGGAAAGGCCCUGCUUUUGUGGGGUGCUCGAGUGGCGAACGGGUGAGUAACACGUGAGUAACCUGCCCUUGACUUUGGGAUAACUUCAGGAAACUGGGGCUAAUACCGGAUAGGAGCUCCUGCUGCAUGGUGGGGGUUGGAAAGUUUCGGCGGUUGGGGAUGGACUCGCGGCUUAUCAGCUUGUUGGUGGGGUAGUGGCUUACCAAGGCUUUGACGGGUAGCCGGCCUGAGAGGGUGACCGGCCCCAUUGGGACUGAGAUACGGACCAGACUCCUACGGGAGGCAGCAGUGGGGAAUAUUGCACAAUGGGAGGAAGCCUGAUGCAGCAACGCCGCGUGCGGGAUGAAGGCCUUCGGGUUGUAAACCGCUUUCGCCUGUGACGAAGCGUGAGUGACGGUAAUGGGUAAAGAAGCAACGGCUAACUACGUG